UGGGGAAUCUUGGACAAUGGGGGCAACCCUGAUCCAGCCAUGCCGCGUGAGUGAUGAAGGCCUUAGGGUCGUAAAGCUCUUUCGCCUGUGAAGAUAAUGACGGUAGCAGGUAAAGAAACCCCGGCUAACUCCGUGCCAGCAGCCGCGGUAAUACGGAGGGGGUUAGCGUUGUUCGGAAUUACUGGGCGUAAAGCGCACGUAGGCGGACCAGAAAGUUGGGGGUGAAAUCCCGGGGGCUCAACCCCGGAACUGCCUCCAAAACUAUUGGUCUAGAGUUCGAGAGAGGUGAGUGGAAUUCCAAGUGUAGAGGUGAAAUUCGUAGAUAUUUGGAGGAACACCAGUGGCGAAGGCGGCUCACUGGCUCGAUACUGACGCUGAGGUGCGAAAAGUGUGGGGAGCAAAACAGGAUUAGAUACCCCUGGUAGUCCCACACCGUAAAACGAUGAAAUGCCCAGUCGUCGGGGUAGCAUGCUAUUCGGUGACACACCUAACGGAUU
This 497-nucleotide ribosomal RNA is filed under the name uncultured bacterium. Its description in RNAcentral is "bacterial SSU rRNA". It matches the Rfam family "Bacterial small subunit ribosomal RNA", at positions 355 to 861 of the family's 1533-position model. The record is from RNAcentral.